UACGAAGGGGGCUAGCGUUGUUCGGAAUUACUGGGCGUAAAGCGUAUGCAGGCGGACUUUUAAGUCGGGGGUGAAAUCCCGAGGCUCAACCUCGGAACUGCCUUCGAUACUGGAAGUCUUGAGUCCGGGAGAGGUGAGUGGAAUUCCGAGUGUAGAGGUGAAAUUCGUAGAUAUUCGGAGGAACACCAGAGGCGAAGGCGGCUCACUGGCACGAUACUGACGCUGAGGUGCGAAAGCGUGGGGAGCAAACAGG
RNAcentral lists this ribosomal RNA (253 nucleotides) under uncultured bacterium. Its description in RNAcentral is "partial 16S ribosomal RNA". It matches the Rfam family "Bacterial small subunit ribosomal RNA", at positions 524 to 776 of the family's 1533-position model. The record is from RNAcentral.